RNAcentral lists this ribosomal RNA (482 nucleotides) under uncultured bacterium. Its description in RNAcentral is "partial 16S ribosomal RNA". It matches the Rfam family "Bacterial small subunit ribosomal RNA", at positions 30 to 507 of the family's 1533-position model. The record is from RNAcentral.
AUUGAACGCUGGCGGCAUGCCUUGCACAUGCAAGUCGAACGGUAACGGGCCUUCGGGUGCCGACGAGUGGCGAACGGGUGAGUAAUACAUCGGAACGUGCCCGAUCGUGGGGGAUAACGAGGCGAAAGCUUUGCUAAUACCGCAUACGAUCUACGGAUGAAAGCAGGGGACCGCAAGGCCUUGCGCGGACGGAGCGGCCGAUGGCAGAUUAGGUAGUUGGUGGGAUAAAAGCUUACCAAGCCGACGAUCUGUAGCUGGUCUGAGAGGAUGAUCAGCCACACUGGGACUGAGACACGGCCCAGACUCCUACGGGAGGCAGCAGUGGGGAAUUUUGGACAAUGGGCGCAAGCCUGAUCCAGCCAUGCCGCGUGCAGGAUGAAGGCCUUCGGGUUGUAAACUGCUUUUGUACGGAACGAAAAGCCUUCUUUUAAUACAGGAGGGUCAUGACGGUACCGGAAGAAUAAGCACCGGCUAACUACGUG